GAUGAACGCUGGCGGCGUGCCUAAUACAUGCAAGUCGAGCGAACGGACGAGAAGCUUGCUUCUCUGAUGUUAGCGGCGGACGGGUGAGUAACACGUGGAUAACCUACCUAUAAGACUGGGAUAACUUCGGGAAACCGGAGCUAAUACCGGAUAAUAUUUUGAACCGCAUGGUUCAAAAGUGAAAGACGGUCUUGCUGUCACUUAUAGAUGGAUCCGCGCUGCAUUAGCUAGUUGGUAAGGUAACGGCUUACCAAGGCAACGAUGCAUAGCCGACCUGAGAGGCUGAUCGGCCACACUGGAACUGAGACACCGUCCAGACUCCUACGGGAGGCAGCAGUAGGGAAUCUUCCGCAAUGGGCGAAAGCCUGACGGAGCAACGCCGCGUGAGUGAUGAAGGUCUUCGGAUCGUAAAACUCUGUUAUUAGGGAAGAACAUAUGUGUAAGUAACUGUGCACAUCUUGACGGUACCUAAUCAGAAAGCCCCGGCUAACUACGUG
This 497-nucleotide ribosomal RNA is filed under the name uncultured bacterium. RNAcentral describes it as "partial 16S ribosomal RNA". It matches the Rfam family "Bacterial small subunit ribosomal RNA", at positions 28 to 507 of the family's 1533-position model. The record is from RNAcentral.